GCCCCUGUGGCCUAAUGGAUAAGGCAUCGGUUUCCUAAACCGGGAAUUGUGGGUUCGAGUCCCGUCAGGGGUA
This is a non-coding RNA of Trachymyrmex septentrionalis, 73 nucleotides long. NCBI's taxonomy places the organism in Eukaryota, Metazoa, Arthropoda, Insecta, Hymenoptera, Formicidae. The record is from Rfam.